Cavia porcellus (domestic guinea pig) is the source of this 2176-nucleotide long non-coding RNA. The record is from Ensembl. NCBI's taxonomy places the organism in Eukaryota, Metazoa, Chordata, Mammalia, Rodentia, Caviidae.
CACGGUGCUAUUUUGGGUCGCUCCGUCUGUGUUCCCGGAAGGCCAUUUCCUUGUGCAGUGGUUGGGAGGCGGAGGACUGGGCCACCCCUGCCCAGUCCACUGCUGAAGAGGCCACUGAGACACAGAGGCGACCUCAGACUGGGGGAGGCCUGUGGUGUGACCCUCUUGGGCUCAGGCCGGUGGCCGAGAGCUCCCUCUACCGACAGCGGCUGGAGGUCAUCGCCGUAAGUGACCCCGCCCGGGAACCCCAAGGCCUCCCUCCCCUGCCGGGUCCAGGGCACCCCAUAAACCCCAGCAUGCCGCCUCCAUUCUCCCGCUUUCUGCUCCCUCGGAAAGGUGGGGCUGCAGCCCGGCACGCCCAGACAUUCCCAGACACCCCAUGUCCGAGCCCCUGCCAAGCCCUGCGGCUUAGCACCCCAUCCCUGGAGCCCUCCCUAGGGACCCUUUGGCCCAGCCCUUCCGCGGACUCCGCCCCGCCUCCAUCUCGUACUCUUGUCUCUCAGCCCCCAACUCUCUGAGUUCUGCAUCACUUCCCAGCCCUCCUCUGGACCCCGAUUUCCCUGCCCCCCCAUAUUUGCACCCCCACUUCUCUGACCCCCCAAAUCUCUGAUCUGCAUCUCUGUGCCCCAUCUUUCUGUUCUCCACUUCUUCCCUGGUCUCUCCGGGGUUCUCCCAGCUGUACCCCACCUCGGACUGACACCUUCCUGCGCAUCCCCAAAUCUAGACCCCUCCCACCUCUGCGCACCGGAUCCGGGGAUCCCCUCCGACUGGAUUUCCCUACCCGAGGCUCCGCCCCCCAACCCCUCCAGGACCCCUAUUGGGCGCGGCGUGGCCUCCGCUGCCUCUCGGCCACGCCCCCUGCCCGCUGCCGCUGCUGAGUCAGCGCCUCGACGGCCCCUCCCCCUCUCAUACCCCACCCCCCAGCAGGGCUGGACCCCCGGGAGGGGAGGGGGAGGGAAGGGAAGGGGGAGAGGAGGUCCCGCCCAGCCCGCGCUCUGCGCAGGAGAAGCGGCGGCUGCAGGAGCGGAUCCGCGCCGCACGCCGCGAGCUGGAGGAGGAGAAGCUGCGCGUGCAGCGGCUCAAGAGGAAAUCCCUGCGCGAGCGCUGGCUGAUGGACGGCGCCGCGGAGACCCCGCAGCAGCCCGGGGACCCCGCCGCCCAGGAUCCCCAGUCACCCGAGGGCCAGGCCCAGACUCGCAUCCGCAGCCUGGAGGACAGCUUGUUCACGUGAGCGCAGCUCCUGGCCGGGGCGGGGGACGCGGAGGGCGCCCGGGUCCCCUCCCAGCUGCGCCCUCUCUCCGCAGGCUCCAGGCCCAGCUGCAGCUGUUGCAGAGCGCGUCCGCGGGCGCGCAGCCCCGAUCCCCGGCCAGGCCCGCCUGGCGCAGGCAGGGUCACCGGCCUCUCUCCCAGCCCGCCAUGGAGACAGGUCCUGCAGGUGAGUAUCGGCGGCCUCGGGUCUGGGGCUCAGGUCACCCCCAGACUGCACAGCCUGCCGGUCAUCCUCACCACCUCCUCCCCCUUCUCUCCUCUCUGGUUCCAUUAGGUCAGGCGGAUGUGGACAAGAGAGCGUCCCUGCCGGUGGGGCCCACGGGUUUGUUCCUAGAGUCCCACUCUGAGCCCAGAGAGGGGGCCCCCGGGCAGGUCCCUGGGGCAGGAGGGUACCCUCAAGAAGCCAACGGCCCCUGCUCGGGGCCCAGCCCUCCUCAGGAGCAGCGGCAGAGCCCGGGGCCAGGGACCACAGCGGAGGGGGACACUGCAAAGGCCCGAGCUGGGAAUGUGGUGGAGGUGGUGUGGGAGGGGCUCCGGGGGCCCCAGGACUGUGUCACAGGUGCUACCGGCCCGGAGUUGGAGGCCAGGGUGGAGCAAGUGGUGUUGGAGGCCUUGAGGGACAGACAGGGGCCCGGCAGCCCCGAGCUCCCUGCCUGGGCACAAGAGAACAGGGGUGUGGUGGAGGUGGUCUGGGAGGGGCUGGGGGGCCGUGACCCUGAGGCCCUGGGUGGUGUGGGCCCAGGGCUCCAGGAACGCCUGGGGGGUGAGGGGUCCCCAGACAGGGAGCCCAACAGGCAGGCAGGACCCGCUGGGGAUGCGGGUUCCUUCAUCUGGGUGGAGAGGGUGACGGUGGGGGAGGAUUGGGAGGAGCUGCUGAUGGAGGGGCUCGAGGGACCCGUGGAGGCUG